GGGUCAGCGAUUGGGGUGAAGUCGUAACAAGGUAGCCGUAGGAGAACCUGCGGCUGGAUCACCUCCUUUCUAUGGAGAAA
Molecule: ribosomal RNA, 80 nt
Filed under: Clostridium saudiense
Lineage: Bacteria; Bacillati; Bacillota; Clostridia; Eubacteriales; Clostridiaceae
Description: partial 16S ribosomal RNA
Rfam family: Bacterial small subunit ribosomal RNA (bases 1-69)
Source: RNAcentral